GGUUGAUCCUGCCAGUAGUCAUAUGCUUGUCACAAAGGCUAAGCCAUGCAUGUGUAAGAAUAAGCCCUAGAAUGGUGAAUCUGCGAAUGGCUCAUUAAAACAGUUAUUGUUUAUUUGAUGGUACUUACUACUUGGAUAACCGUAGUAAUUCUAGAGCUAAUACAUGCUUCAACCCCCGACUUCGGAAGGGGCGCAUUUAUUAGAUACAAACCAUUGGCCCUUCACGGGGUCUUUAAUUGGUGAGUCAUAAUAACUGAGCGAAUCGAAUGGCCUUGUGCUGUCGAUGCUUCAUUCAAAUUUCUGCCCUAUCAGCUUUCGAUGGUAGGAUCUUGGCCUACCAUGGCUAUAACGGGUAACGGGGAAUUAGGGUUCGAUUCCGGAGAGGGAGCUUGAGAAACGGCUACCACAUCCAAGGAUGGCAGCCGGCGCGCAAAUUACCCAAUCCCGACACGGGGAGGUAGUGACAUGAAAUAACAAUGCUGGGUUCGUUUGAAUCCGGCAAUUGGAAUGAGAGUAAUUUAAACCAAUUCUCGAGGAGCCAUUGGAGGGCAAGUCUGGUGCCAGCAGCCGCGGUAAUUCCAGCUCCAAUAGCGUAUAUUAAAGUUGUUGCAGUUAAAAAGCUCGUAGUCUGACCGAUUUGGCCUUUUGGCUGAGGCUGGUUUACUCUAGUCUCGGUUGAAUUUCCCGCGAUGCGGAGUCUCUCGUUUCUUGGCGGCUUUGGUGAAAGCCAGGGUCGUCAGGGCGGGUUGUUCUCUCUUUUGCGGGGGGUCAAAUUUGUACUUCGGAGGAACGUGCGUGCUUUUCACUAAGUGCGUAUUUUGGGAUUCCGAUAGUUUACUUUGAGAAAAAUAGAGUGUUCAAAGCAGGCGCUUCGCCACUUGAAUACGUUAGCAUGGGAUAAUGAAAUAGGACAUUGGUUCUCUAUUUCUGAUGGUUUGAAGGACCGAUGUAAUGAUUAAUAGGGACAGUUGGGGACAUUUAUAUUCCAUGGCUAGAGGUGAAAUUCUUGGAUUCAUGGAAGAUAAACUACUGCGAAAGCAUUUGUCAAAGAUGUUUUCAUUGAUCAAGAACGAAAGUUAGGGGAGCAAAGACGAUCAGAUACCGUCGUAGUCUUAACCAUAAACGAUGCCGACUAGGGAUCGGUGGGAGUUAGUUUCGAUGACUCCAUCGGCACCUCUAUGGGAAACCAAAGUCUUUGGGUUCCGGGGGGAGUAUGGUCGCAAGGCUGAAACUUAAAGGAAUUGACGGAAGGGCACCACCAGGAGUGGAGCCUGCGGCUUAAUUUGACCCAACACGGGAAAACUCACCAGGUCCAGACAUGGUAAGGAUUGACAGAUUGAGAGCUCUUUCUUGAUUCCAUGAAAGGUGGCGCAUGGCCGUUCUUAGUUGGUGGAGUGAUUUGUCUGGUUAAUUCCGAUAACGAACGAGACCUUUACCUGCUAACUAGUCU
This 1450-nucleotide ribosomal RNA is filed under the name metagenome. RNAcentral's name for it is "SSU rRNA". It matches the Rfam family "Eukaryotic small subunit ribosomal RNA", at positions 6 to 1361 of the family's 1831-position model. The record is from RNAcentral.